UACAGAGGGUGCAAGCGUUAAUCGGAGUUACUGGGCGUAAAGGGUGCGUAGGCGGAUAUUCAAGUCGGAUGUGAAAGCCCCGGGCUUAACCUGGGAAUUGCAUUCGAUACUGGAUAUCUAGAGUAUGGCAGAGGAAAGUGGAAUUUCCGGUGUAGCGGUGAAAUGCGUAGAUAUCGGAAAGAACACCAGUGGCGAAGGCGACUUUCUGGACCAAUACUGACGCUGAGGCACGAAAGCGUGGGGAGCAAACAGGAUUAGAUACCCCAGUA
RNAcentral lists this ribosomal RNA (269 nucleotides) under uncultured prokaryote. RNAcentral's name for it is "partial 16S ribosomal RNA". It matches the Rfam family "Bacterial small subunit ribosomal RNA", at positions 524 to 792 of the family's 1533-position model. The record is from RNAcentral.